CCGUAGGUGAACCUGCGGAAGGAUCAUUACUGAAUAUAAUGAGGUGUGUCGCUGCCCUUUCGGGGGAUGUGCACGCAUUUCAAAUUCAUCUUUACCACCUGUGCACUUUUGUAGACUAUGAUACCUCUCAAUGGUUAAUUCCGUUGGAUAGAAAGACUUGCGAUUCAGCUGUCUUUCAAUUUCGUAGUCUAUGUUUUAUCUAUUUACUAAAGUCCAGAAUGUCCUUUGUGAGUCUUUUGACUUAUAAAACUUAAUACAACUUUCAACAACGGAUCUCUUGGCUCUCGCAUCGAUGAAGAACGCAGCGAAAUGCGAUAAGUAAUGUGAAUUGCAGAAUUCAGUGAAUCAUCGAAUCUUUGAACGCACCUUGCACUCUUUGGUAUUCCGAAGAGUAUGCCUGUUUGAGUGUCAUUAAAUUCUCAAACCUUCUUGACUUUAUUGACUCGAAGGCUUUGGAUGUGGGGGUUGCUGGCUUUUACGGGUCAGCUCUCCUUAAAUACAUUAGUGGUUACUGUUCUUCCACUUCCUGGUGUGAUAAUUAUCUACGCCAUAGUGAAGAUGUUAAGUGUAGCUGCUUUCGAACCGUCCAUGCAAUGUGGACAAUUUGAACCUUUUGACCUCAAAUCAGGUAGGACUACCCGCUGAACUUAAGCAUAUCAAUAAGCGGAGGAAAAGAAACUAACAAGGAUUCCCCUAGUAACUGCGAGUGAAGCGGGAAAAGC
Molecule: ribosomal RNA, 722 nt
Filed under: Mycena oregonensis
Lineage: Eukaryota; Fungi; Basidiomycota; Agaricomycetes; Agaricales; Mycenaceae
Description: eukaryotic LSU rRNA
Rfam family: 5.8S ribosomal RNA (bases 258-411)
Source: RNAcentral